CUUCAACCUUGAGUGAUCACAGUUUUUGAAAAAUCCCGAUGAGGCAUUAAAGAGGAGGAGGAGUGUCCCAAGGGAGGUGAGCUGGAGGCAAAGUAAGCACAGCUUCCUCCCCACUGGUACUAAUUCAUGGAAAUACAUCAUGUUGGUUUUAAAAAAUGGAAGUCUGAAUGCUUGGUGACAGAGCCUGCAGCAAGAGAAGAAAAAAAAAUGUUGCCUGUUCUUCCAAGUUGCAGAAAAACUGGUACUACUAUGCAUCAUAAAACUGGCCAUUAAAAUGUUAUUUCUAACAGAAAAUUCUGGGAAACACCCAGACACUAAAUAUAUCUUACUGCUCAUCCCAGACCUUUGCUGAAAUGUAACCUUCUCCUUGUAGCCUUUCUUGAUCAGCUAAUUUAAAAAAUUUGCCUCCAUCAGACCCCUGGUUUCCUACUCUCUCUACCUCCCUGCAAGUCUUCUCCAUGGUAAUCAUCACAAUCUAACACAUAUUUUACUUAUUUUGUAUUUGUUUUCACUAAAAUAAACUCCUGAACUUCUGUA
Molecule: long non-coding RNA, 537 nt
Organism: Capra hircus (goat)
Lineage: Eukaryota; Metazoa; Chordata; Mammalia; Artiodactyla; Bovidae
Exons: 2
Source: RefSeq, a predicted model, not a curated record